UUAUAUGUUUUAGUUUACCAUUUGGAAAUACCCAAAAUUUAAAAAUUAAGAUUAUGCCGGCUCAACGAAAACUUUUUCUUUCUAUUAAAUUUGAAGUUUAUCAGGAUAAAAACCUGGAAAUUUAUAAUACUUGUAAAAAACAACUCGAUAAAUAUCCUUGCUCACUUGUCAAGAGUGAAAUAAGUGUGAACAGUGUUGAGCAGAGUUUCGAGGGGUUUCUAGAAAGCGAAUUUCCAGUUAUACGGGAAUUUGAAAGAUUUUUGGUUCAUGAAACGGUGAAAAGGAAUGAUGCUCAAUUACUUAUAUCAGAUCUCACGAAUGUUAGAAAUGGUUAUAAAUCAAAGCCCGAAACAAAAAUAGUAGUCAGAAAUAUCACGAAAAUUGAUGAGAAUGAUUGUGAAUGAAAACCCGAAGCAAAUAUUGAUCGAAAUAGCAUUAGGUAUGAAUCCGAGAACCAAACAUAAAUCGAUAAAAUACUUCUGAGUACCUCGCUAUAUGCUAAAAUGUUUUCAUUUAUAAGAGAUGUCACGCAAAUUGAUGAAAUUGACUGUGAAUCAAAGCUCGGAACAGAAAUAAGUCAGUAAACAUCUUAUCCUGUUUCGUGGAUAAGUAUUGAAAUAUUUGUAGUCACAUUAUAUCUCCAAAAACUAAUGGAUGUGUAUGUGAAUCAAGUGAAGCAAAUAUUGGAAACAAUGGUUCGGAUAAAGGAGUCAAUGAUGUGUAUCUCAAUGACCUCUUGAUCAUAAAAUUGUAGGUGUGUGAUUCUCACAAAAAAUUUUAAGUGAUACAAUUUGAUGAACUUCUGUAUUUCAUAUCAGUAUUAAAUUAUAGUUGGUUGAUUGCAUGAA
This is a long non-coding RNA of Teleopsis dalmanni, 848 nucleotides long. RefSeq lists it as uncharacterized. The transcript is spliced from 4 exons. The record is from RefSeq and is a predicted model, not a curated record. Lineage: Eukaryota; Metazoa; Arthropoda; Insecta; Diptera; Diopsidae.